This 272-nucleotide ribosomal RNA is filed under the name uncultured bacterium. RNAcentral describes it as "partial 16S ribosomal RNA". It matches the Rfam family "Bacterial small subunit ribosomal RNA", at positions 337 to 607 of the family's 1533-position model. The record is from RNAcentral.
UCCUACGGGGGGCAGCAGUGAGGAAUAUUGGUCAAUGGGCGCGAGCCUGAACCAGCCAAGUCGCGUGAGGGAAGACGGUCCUCUGGAUUGUAAACCUCUUUUGUCGGGGAGCAAAAGACGCCACGUGUGGGUUCCGAGAGUACCCGAAGAAAAAGCAUCGGCUAACUCCGUGCCAGCAGCCGCGGUAAUACGGAGGAUGCGAGCGUUAUCCGGAUUUAUUGGGUUUAAAGGGUGCGCAGGCGGAAGAUCAAGUCAGCGGUAAAAUUGAGAGG